UGAGUUGGUAAAAAAGUUUGUUCGGGUUUUUCUGUAACAUUCUAUGGAAACUCCCGAAGGACCUUUUUGGCCAA
Molecule: microRNA precursor, 74 nt
Filed under: Ovis aries (sheep)
Lineage: Eukaryota; Metazoa; Chordata; Mammalia; Artiodactyla; Bovidae
Description: miRNA (ENSOARG00000023531.1)
Source: RNAcentral